AAUGAACGCUGGCGGCUUGCCUACUACAUGCAAGUCGACCGGCCGGACGAUAAGCUUGUUUCUUUGCUGUUGGCGGGGGGCGGAUGAGUAACGCAUGCAUCCCCUUCCUCUUGGACUGGGCUAAGAACGGGGAACCGUUUCUGCUACUGCUGAAUAUUACGCACGGUAGGGUUCAGAAGUGAUUCACGGUUUUGCUGUGUCUUUGAGCUGGAUGCGCGCUGGCUGGGUUAGUUGGUAAGGUAACGGCUUACCAAGGCAACGUUGCAUAGCUGACCUGAGAGGGUGAUCGGCCACACUGGAACUGAGACACGGUCCAGACUCCUACGGGAGGCAGCAGUAGGGAAUCUUCGGCAAGGGGCGAAAGCCUGACCCAGCAACACCGCGUGAGUGAUGAAGGCCUUCGGAUCGUAAAACUCUGUUAUUAGGGAAGAACAGAAGUGUGAGAAACUGUGGACAUCUUGACGGUACCGAAUGAAAAAGCGCCGGCUAACUACGUG
Molecule: ribosomal RNA, 497 nt
Filed under: uncultured bacterium
Lineage: Bacteria
Description: partial 16S ribosomal RNA
Rfam family: Bacterial small subunit ribosomal RNA
Source: RNAcentral